CCUACGGGGUGCAGCAGUGGGGAAUAUUGGGCAAUGGGCGCAAGCCUGACCCAGCAACGCCGCGUGAAGGAAGAAGGCUUUCGGGUUGUAAACUUCUUUUGUCAGGGAAGAGUAGAAGACGGUACCUGACGAAUAAGCCACGGCUAACUACGCGCCAGCAGCCGCGGUAAUACGUAGGGGGAAAGCGUUGUCCGGAUUUACUGGGUGUAAAGGGCGUGUAGCCGGGUUGACAAGUCAGAUGUGAAAUCCUGCGGCUUAACCGCAGAACUGCAUUUGAAACUGUUGAUCUUGAGUACUGGAGAGGCAGACGGAAUUCCUAGUGUAGCGGUGAAAUGCGUAGAUAUUAGGAGGAACACCAGUGGCGAAGGCGGUCUGCUGGACAGCAACUGACGGUGAGGCGCGAAAGCGUGGGGAGCAAACAGGAUUAGAUACCCCAGUAGUC
Molecule: ribosomal RNA, 442 nt
Filed under: uncultured bacterium
Lineage: Bacteria
Description: partial 16S ribosomal RNA
Rfam family: Bacterial small subunit ribosomal RNA
Source: RNAcentral